CCUUUGGAUGAUGAAGAGAUGAUUUCAUACAUCCUCAUAAGUCUCAACAUCAAGUACAAUCCAAUCGUGUAUGCUAUCAUAGCACGAGUGGAACCAAUUUCAAUUAGUGAGUUAUAUGCUCAGCUAUUAAGCUUUGAAA
Small nucleolar RNA from Phragmites australis (common reed), 139 nucleotides. RefSeq annotates it as small nucleolar RNA Z247. The record is from RefSeq and is a predicted model, not a curated record. NCBI's taxonomy places the organism in Eukaryota, Viridiplantae, Streptophyta, Magnoliopsida, Poales, Poaceae. The transcript has a single exon.